AUGGAUACAAAUGGAUGUUUCAGUGAUUUGCUAUGGAUGCCUCACAGCCAACACAAAAUAUCCAAAACUUGGGAAAAUCCUAACAUUUGCUUGAAUGUACUAUGUCAUCGUGUUGGCAUCCCAUUUGACCCCCUAUAUACAUCAGCUUUAGAGAACCUUGGUUUUUAUCGGAUUGCUAAGAUGAGGAAAAUCAAUGUCGACAAAUAUUUGAUAUCGGCAUUGGUGGAGCGUUGGUGGCCCAAGACAAACAGUUUUCACCUACAUGUAGGAGAAAUGACUAUUACGUUGCAAGAUGUCAGUUGUUUGUGGGGGUUGCCUAUCCAUGGUAAACCACUUGUUGGAAAAGCUGAUGCACAGUGGUCAGAAAUAGUUGAGAGGUUGCUUGGGAUUCCUGUGGAUGAAAAACACAUGAAACAAAAGAAAAGGCGAAAAGGUGAUGAUAAUGCUGUUGUGAGGAAUUCACAAUACUCUCUAAAUCUGGGAAAACUGCAGGAACACUUCCAUGUGUUGCCGGAUAAUCCAAUGGACAGGGAGAUUAAUUGGCAUGCUCGAGCACUUGUUCUAGAAAUUCUUGGCUCCAUAGUCUUUACUGAUACAUCUGGAGAUGGAGUGCUAGCUAUGUAUCUCCAAUUUAUGCAGGAUUUAGGACAACCAAUAGAGUAUAAUUGGGGAGCAGCUGCUCUUGCUCUAUUGUAUAGACAACUGAGCAUAGGUGCUGAGAAGGAGAGACUAGAAAUUUCAGGUCCUUUAUUGUUGCUAGAGUUAUGGUCUUGGUCCCGUUUGCCACUUGGUUGCCCUAAAGUUAUUUUUGAGAAGCCCAAAGAAGGAGAGGAACUUGAUGAAGAGGAAGAAGAACAAUAA
RNAcentral lists this ribosomal RNA (861 nucleotides) under Triticum aestivum (bread wheat). RNAcentral describes it as "partial small subunit ribosomal RNA". Lineage: Eukaryota; Viridiplantae; Streptophyta; Magnoliopsida; Poales; Poaceae. The record is from RNAcentral.